This is a small nuclear RNA of Lycium barbarum (goji berry), 103 nucleotides long. NCBI's taxonomy places the organism in Eukaryota, Viridiplantae, Streptophyta, Magnoliopsida, Solanales, Solanaceae. The record is from RefSeq and is a predicted model, not a curated record.
GCCUCUAUGGGGACAUCCCAUAAAAUUGGAACAAUACACAAAAGAUUAACAUGACUGUUAUGAAAGACUGACAUGCACAGAUCAAGAAAUGGUCCAAAUAUAU